CAGCAUGUGACCAAUGGAUGGAUUAUUUGUUUUUGAAAUUGGUAAUUCUGAAUGGGAUUUUGCUACACGUGGUUUAUAUGUCUUGACAAGAAAAUAAAACUGUUGGUUUGUGCAUAUGUUUGGAGAAUUUGAAGAAAAGAUAGCAUUUGCUAGGUCUGUGCUGGAGACAUGUUUUCCUUCUAUAUUCUGGAAACUUGUAUGAAUGGUGAUAUAUGCAUAUAUUUAACGGAGAAGAAUAACCGAUUGAUGCCCUGAUACAUAGUGAUCCCGAUGAAAAGAUUGAUGGUCAUGGACAGUUGCUAAUCCAUGAACCUUAGGUUUCUCUGUAAGAAAAACCAAUAGGAACCUUGUCAUUUAACUUGUAUGAGUACAACAACUGCAGUUUUCCAGCGGAUGGAUCACCUGGCAGUGUUAAAUUUUCGGGUACAUGUACAACUGUUAGUUUUGGUGUAAAUUUUGCCUUUUGAGAUCAUGUUAAUGUACAGAAGUUCUUUUAAACAGAUUUGAAAAUUUAAUUACAAAGUGAGUGUAUUUUCGUCUAUUAUAUCUUUCAGAGUUUACACUAUGGUUUUUGGUUUGUGUAACAUGGUCACAAAAAAAUUAAAGGUUGUGGCUUGAGACACUUUACAAGUGACUUCAAAUUUUCCAUCUCCGAAAGAUUACUAAUUUGUUGAGUCAUGUAUGUAAACUAUUACGUUAAGACAGGAAGAGGAU
This 714-nucleotide long non-coding RNA is filed under the name Olea europaea subsp. europaea. The record is from RNAcentral. Lineage: Eukaryota; Viridiplantae; Streptophyta; Magnoliopsida; Lamiales; Oleaceae.